UUCAGAGCAUAGCUUAACUAUGAUAAAGCGCCUCCCUUACACUGAGGAGAUGCCCGUGCAAAUCGGGCUGACCUGAAAC
RNAcentral lists this transfer RNA (79 nucleotides) under Lethrinus laticaudis (grass emperor). Its description in RNAcentral is "tRNA-Val". It matches the Rfam family "tRNA". Rfam says of the family: Transfer RNA (tRNA) molecules are approximately 80 nucleotides in length. Their secondary structure includes four short double-helical elements and three loops (D, anti-codon, and T loops). The record is from RNAcentral. Lineage: Eukaryota; Metazoa; Chordata; Actinopteri; Spariformes; Lethrinidae.